UUGGUUCUUCCUCGUCUUCCACCUCAACAGUCCUUGAUUUCUCUUGCCACGUAUAAAUGGGGAAAGAAACAAAUUGUGAGUAGUUCUUCACCAAACCCUGAAUUUUGACUGGAUCUGAGAAUUCAUAUUUAUCGUCCUCCCUUAAAUAAAGUGUAAUUUGUGUUCCGCGACGUAGGAGCUUGUCAGGAUCACUUUCUUCCUUAAUCAAGUAAGAGCUACUGUCAGCUACUGCUUCCCAAACAUAUUGCCUAUCGGACAUUGGGCUCUUCGUAGCCACUACAACCUUCUCAGCCACAAGAAAAGCAGAUAGAACCCAACACCAAAUUGACCAAUCAAACCAUUGUCUGCCCCAAGAUCCUUAUUUUCCUUAAGAGCCUUAAGGAAUUUUGAAGUGCC
This 396-nucleotide unclassified non-coding RNA is filed under the name Hevea brasiliensis (rubber tree). The record is from RNAcentral. Lineage: Eukaryota; Viridiplantae; Streptophyta; Magnoliopsida; Malpighiales; Euphorbiaceae.